This is a non-coding RNA of Pelodiscus sinensis (Chinese soft-shelled turtle), 597 nucleotides long. The record is from the annotation of a RefSeq genome assembly. Lineage: Eukaryota; Metazoa; Chordata; Testudines; Trionychidae.
CUCCCAACGCCCAGCCCGUGUCGCUCCCUCCGGGUCUCGGUGCCUGUGUCUGUCCGGCUGCCCAGCGGGGAGAUGAAAUUCCUGCUCCCGUCUCUCCUGCUCUGUGCCCUGGCGGCAGGUGGCCGCUCCCAGGUGACACUGCGGCAGCCCGGAGCCGCCCAGGUGAAGCCUUCGCAGACCCUGAGCCUCACCUGCUCCGUGUCCGGAUUCUCUCUCACCACUAGCGGGAUUAGAAUGAACUGGAUCCGACAGCUGCCGGGGAAAGGCCUGGAGUGGCUGUGUCUGGUGUACUGGGAUGAUGACAAGCGCUACACGGAGUCCUUGAAAAGUCGCUUGAGCAUCUCCCGGGACACGUCCAAGGGCGAGGUGUAUUUGGAAAUGAGAAACCUGGAAGCCGGAGACAGCGGCACCUAUUACUGCGCCAGGAGACACAGUGUCCUCGCUCAGGUGAGGCUGGUCCAGUCUGGCCCAGGGCAAGUAAAGCCCGGAGAGACCCUCACCCUGACAUGCGCUGUCUCUGGUUAUUCCAUCGCUAGCGGUAAAGAGUGGGUCUGGGUACGGCAGCCACCCGGGAAAAAGUUGGAGUGGAUGGGGUAG